GUGAGGAAUUUUCCGCAAUGGGCGAAAGCCUGACGGAGCAAUGCCGCGUGAAGGAUGAAGGCCUAUGGGUUGUAAACUUCUUUUCUCAGAAAAGAAUUAUGACGGUAUCUGAGGAAUAAGCAUCGGCUAACUCUGUGCCAGCAGCCGCGGUAAGACAGAGGAUGCAAGCGUUAUCCGGCAUGAUUGGGCGUAAAGCGUCUGUAGGUUGUUUAAAAAGUAUUCUGUCAAAGAUUAGGGCUUAACCCUAGAUAGGCAGAAUAAACUUUUAAGAUAGAGUUUGGUAGAGGCAGAGGGAAUUCCCGGUGGAGCGGUGAAAUGCGUAGCUAUCGGGAGGAACACCAAAGGCGAAGGCACUCUGCUGGGCCAAUACUAACACUGAGAGACGAAAGCGAGGGGAGCAAAUGGGAUUAGAAACCCUGGUAGUCC
This 426-nucleotide ribosomal RNA is filed under the name uncultured bacterium. RNAcentral's name for it is "partial 16S ribosomal RNA". It matches the Rfam family "Bacterial small subunit ribosomal RNA", at positions 354 to 796 of the family's 1533-position model. The record is from RNAcentral.